RNAcentral lists this microRNA precursor (72 nucleotides) under Podarcis lilfordi (Lilford's wall lizard). The record is from RNAcentral. Lineage: Eukaryota; Metazoa; Chordata; Lepidosauria; Squamata; Lacertidae.
GCUUUUGUGUGCAUGCACACUUCUUCAGAUACACUUCUUUGUAUCUGAAGAAGUGUGCAUGCACACGAAAGC